RNAcentral lists this ribosomal RNA (448 nucleotides) under Lecithaster sp. ZL-2012. Its description in RNAcentral is "bacterial SSU rRNA". It matches the Rfam family "Eukaryotic small subunit ribosomal RNA", at positions 550 to 898 of the family's 1831-position model. The record is from RNAcentral. Lineage: Eukaryota; Metazoa; Platyhelminthes; Trematoda; Azygiida; Lecithasteridae.
GGAGGGCCAAGCUGGUGCCAGCAGCCGCGGUAACUCCAGCUCCAGAAGCGUAUAUUAAAGUUGUUGCAGUUAAAAAGCUCGUAGUUGGAUCUGGGUGUCAUGACUUUGCUCUGUGGACUGCUUCAUCUGCCAAACAUGGUGGUGUUGCUUCCCGGUGGUUAAGUCGUCUUACCUUUCUGCCGUGUCUAUUCGAAUGCGAAUGGGUGUCGGUUGUCGGCGUCGUUGUCGUUUGUUCGGCACGGCGUUGUCAGCCGGCAUGCUUACGGUUGGCCUUUACUGGUCGGCCGGAGUGGACGGCAAGUUUACUUUGAACAAAUUUGAGUGCUCAAAGCGGGCCAUAGUGCCUGAAAAGUCUUGCAUGGAAUAAUGAAAUAGGACUUCGGUUCUAUUUUGUUGGUUUUCAGAUCCGAAGUAAUGGUUAAGAGGGACAGACGGGGGCAUUUGUAUG